UGGAGUCUCUCCCACAGAGACCAUAAAGUGAGAGGAAAGGAAAGAAAACCCCUCCGCUGCAGGGGUUUGUCUGCCCUGGUUCCCUCUGUUCCUCGCCCAACUGGCCCUCUGUCUUGGGCCCGCCCCACUCUAGGCAGACAAGACCUUGGGGUCUUGACCCCACUGACCACUUUCUCCCCUGCGAACACUCUCUGCCGUGUCCCUCGCGGCCCCCACUCCUGAGAGUCCGCUCACUUCCCGGGAGGCUGCUUCUCAGCCUUGUUUGCGGCCCCACCUUCCUUGCCGCCCCCGCCCCCCUCGCGGGGGAGGGUCCGGCCGCAGGCGCCCGAGCACCCGAGUCCGAGCUGGGCAGCUUUUUAGUGGAAGCGCAGGGCCCACGGCCGGGAGCAUGAACGGCGAAUACAGACAGCUUGGUUUCCUCGCAUGUAAAACGGGACGAGGAAGAGGUUGGUGAAAAUAAUGUGAACAAUGGUACCAUCUCGUGUGGGCACGUGGGAAGAGAACGAAUUCAACCUCUUUUUGAUUACCUUGUCAAGCCAAACGCCACCUGACCUUAAUCUGGACUACAGAGACCUGAAACUGACACUAGCCCCCUCAUACGAGGCAAGCCGUAUACAGCAACCACAGCAUCACAAGCAAAUCAGGUUAUGAUGCUGCUGAUUGACAUAUGAUACCCUGUAGGCGAUGUGGGAGAGAGAGGCCAUGACUGCAGGAGUAGAGUCCUUCAUGGAGGUCUGAGGAGGCUCUAAAAACACCACCACCGGAAAUUCUCCCAAGUCUGCAUCUCACGGCAAUGCAGACUUUUGCAGAGUGCGUCCAGGUGUAGCUGCACAGUGCACCCCAUCAGAUUAAGACCUGGCCUGCUCCUAGACCAUAGAUCUUGCCAGAUACAGUUCAUGCUCCAUUAUCCACUCUAAUGGAGGAAAGUUGGACAGCAUAAUUAAAAACAAUGGGCAACC
Long non-coding RNA from Neofelis nebulosa (Clouded leopard), 959 nucleotides. RefSeq lists it as uncharacterized. The record is from RefSeq and is a predicted model, not a curated record. NCBI's taxonomy places the organism in Eukaryota, Metazoa, Chordata, Mammalia, Carnivora, Felidae. The transcript has 5 exons.